Molecule: ribosomal RNA, 567 nt
Filed under: Triticum aestivum (bread wheat)
Lineage: Eukaryota; Viridiplantae; Streptophyta; Magnoliopsida; Poales; Poaceae
Description: partial small subunit ribosomal RNA
Source: RNAcentral
UGGUUCAAGAACUAUAUGAUAAGGAUGCAGGAUGAGGUUGGUAAAGAGGUAGACGAAGAUCUCUUUGCCUUGGCAUGUGGUCCUGAUCGGAGAGUCCGGAAAUUCUCAUCAUGCAUAGUGAAUGGGAUUAGAUUUAGCACUGUUGAUCGUGAUAGCAACAAGAGAACGCAAAACAGUGGAGUCAUGGCCGAAGGUGAACAUGACCGUAAGGUCAUAAAUUUUUAUGGAACCUUGAAAGAGAUCAUUCAGUUAGACUACAACUUGGAUGACAGGUCAGUUGUUUUGUUUAAAUGUGACUGGUUUAAACUUGAUGGAAAGAAGAUCGAGCUUAAAAAUGAUGUUUUUUUCAAAAGCAUAAAUGUUGGAAGUAUGUGGUACAAGGACGAUUCUUUGAUUCUGGCUAUGCAGGCUAGAAAGGUCUUUUAUUUGCUAGACACGAAGUAUGGGAAGAAUUGGCAAGUUGUGCAAACAUUUGAACAUAGGCAUCUCUUCAAUAUUAGUGAAACUGAGGGUGUACCUUUUACUGGUCCUGCAUAUCAAGAGGACGAGUGUUGUGAUGAGGAGGGU